AACCUCUUUGCCUAUGGUGUAUGCUUUUUAUAAUUGUUUAAUUGUGUAAUUUUCUAUUUUUCCAGUUAAAAUAAAACACAAGAGAGCAAACAUUGAUGGAAAAUACCCACAAACAUCUGUGGCAUCAGGAGCAGAAUUUUGUGCCAUUGACCUUUAAAGAAGGUGAAGAUGCCAGUCUGGCUAACAUGAUAGGCAACAGGAAUGAUGGUGCAGGGGAUGCAGGCAGCCUCGCUGGCAGGAAGGUGGAUAACACAGCUGUGGGAACCAACUCUAAGGCUUCUGCUACCCGUGGCCUGACAUCCCUAACUCUGCACCUUAAGGGAAAUCAUCAGUGACUCCACUUCAAUGCUCACUGUGUUAAAUGGCACAAAAAGCCUGUGAAAUCUUGCAUUCUCUUCCCCAGGCCAAGGAAGGAGUGAGAGAAAAGCAUGGGUGGAAUAUGUGAUUUACUUGCAGAAGGGGGAUUGUAAAUUUUGAUUCUCAUUCUCUAACACCCAUACCGGGACCUUAUCACAUCUACUUCCUUCAUACUGUGGGCUGCCACUUGCCCUUCCCAGCCCCAGGGUCCCCUGGAUGAGAGAGACUUUGUGAGCUAUCUUCUGAGGAGGCUGCAAUCACUGCUUAGCUGGCCUUCCUGGCGGCUUUAUCGGCAUUGAUUUUGUGGUCAUACAAAUCUUCCUUAAUACAAUUUUGAAAGCAUCACUUCCACUCUUAAAACUUUG
Molecule: long non-coding RNA, 722 nt
Filed under: Vulpes vulpes (red fox)
Lineage: Eukaryota; Metazoa; Chordata; Mammalia; Carnivora; Canidae
Description: lncRNA (ENSVVUG00000005219.1)
Source: RNAcentral